Molecule: ribosomal RNA, 484 nt
Filed under: uncultured bacterium
Lineage: Bacteria
Description: partial 16S ribosomal RNA
Rfam family: Bacterial small subunit ribosomal RNA
Source: RNAcentral
GACGAACGCUGGCGGCGUGCGUAACACAUGCAAGUCGAACGAUGAAGCCGGAGCUUGCUCUGGUGAAUUAGUGGCGAACGGGUGAGUAACACGUGAGUAACCUGCCCUUGACUCUGGGAUAACUGCGGGAAACUGUAGCUAAUACCGGAUACGACCCUCGGAGGCAUCUCCUGGGGGUGGAAAGAAUUUCGGUCAAGGAUGGACUCGCGGCCUAUCAGCUAGUUGGUGAGGUAAAGGCUCACCAAGGCGACGACGGGUAGCCGGCCUGAGAGGGGGACCGGCCACAGUGGGACUGAGACACGGCCAAGACUCCUACGGGAGGCAGCAGUGGGGAAUAUUGCACAAUGGGCGCAAGCCUGAUGCAGCAACGCCGCGUGAGGGAUGACGGCCUUCGGGUUGUAAACCUCUUUUAGCAGGGAAGAAGCGAAAGUGACGGUACCUGCAGAAAAAGCACCGGCUAACUACGUGCCAGCAGCCGCCGUAA